GGAAGUAAAAGUCGUAACAAGGUUUCCGUAGGUAUGAAGAACCAGAACCCCAGCCGGUUUGCCUAUCGGAGACCCCCGCAGCGACUAUAAAUAUCUGCUUCCAGUCGGUCUUUUAGGCUGGCAACGUUAUCAAUCUGGGCUGGAAGCAUCCCUCGGGGUCUGACCAGCAGCUCCCACGGAGUUCACAGAUCAAACGAUAGUGGCCAUUCACCGUGGUUGAGAUAUGAUCGGCCCCAACUGCCAGAGCAGUUGGCGACCUCGCGGAACCUGCGGAAGGAUCAUUAUUGAGAGAGGGGCUUCGCGCCCCCGGGGGCUGCGGCCCCCAACUCUUUACCCUCUGUCUAUCUACCUUUGUUGCUUUGGCGGGCCCUAGGGUUUGCCCCAGGCCGGCUUCCGGCCUCCGCGCCCGGCUGGUAAGUGCUCGUCAAAGGGCCUAAUUAAACCCUUUUGUCAGUGAUGUCCGAGUAAAACUUAAAUAGUAAAAAACUUUCAACAACGGAUCUCUUGGUUCUGGCAUCGAUGAAGAACGCAGCGAAAUGCGAUAAGUAAUGUGAAUUGCAGAAUUCAGUGAAUCAUCGAAUCUUUGAACGCACAUUGCGCCCCUCGGCAUUCCGGGGGGCAUGCCUGUUCGAGCGUCAUUACUCCCUUCAAGCGUGGCUUGGUAUUGGGCCCUCGCCCUUUGGGCGUGCCCGAAAGUCAGUGGUGGUCCGGUGCGACUUCGAGCGUAGUAACAAUUCUCCCGCUUGGAAGCUUAUGCCGUGGCCCGCCAGGAAGACCCAAAUUCGUCCAACGAUUGACCUCGGAUCAGGUAGGGAUACCCGCUGA
Molecule: ribosomal RNA, 825 nt
Filed under: Lecanora sp. 1 SPO-2012
Lineage: Eukaryota; Fungi; Ascomycota; Lecanoromycetes; Lecanorales; Lecanoraceae
Description: eukaryotic LSU rRNA
Rfam family: 5.8S ribosomal RNA (bases 485-638)
Source: RNAcentral